GAAGUUUGCGGAGUUGUCCAGGUUUGCACCUCAUUUGGUGGAGAAUGAGGAACGAAUGACGCGUAUGUUUCUGAGAGGUCUAAAACCCGAGAUUCGUCAAUACCUUAUCUCUCAUAAAUUUUCUCUGUAUUCAGAUGUUGUCAAUAGGGCUCAGUUAUUAGAGCGAGAUAGUGAGUAUACUCAACCGAGGGACCACAACCAGGG
Molecule: long non-coding RNA, 204 nt
Filed under: Panax ginseng (ginseng)
Lineage: Eukaryota; Viridiplantae; Streptophyta; Magnoliopsida; Apiales; Araliaceae
Description: long non-coding RNA (PGIN_LNC014877)
Source: RNAcentral